UUUCUUCUUUUAUUUUUCAAGAAAAAAACAAAACACCCUCUCCCCCUUUAUUUCUCAACUCUCUGCUAGGGUUAUGAACCCUAGCCGUCGCGCCGUCAGCCCGUCGAUCGAGAGGAAGAAAGUCUCUCCUCUCUUCCUUUUGGGUCUGAUUUCAACAACGGACAGAGUCUCCGGCAACACAAUCACAGGGAUUUCGGGUGGUUGUCAGAGACGUCAGAUGUGUGCGACAAAGCGGUGCGCGUGGUGGUCGAGGGUAGCGUGCGGCGCUGGUCAAGGGCAGAGGGGCAUGCGGCGGCUGCACCUUGGGGACUAGGGUUUUGUCUGCUGAAAAAAAAGUUUAAGAUAGUGGGCUAGGGUUUGAUGUAAUGGGUCAUUUGGUUUUGGGUUUGGGCAUGCUGUUUGUUUUUUGUAAAAUGGACUUUAUUUGGUUAUUUGGAUUUUAUUUUUUUGUUUAUUUGCCUGGGCCAAAAAUUGGCCAUUACAAUGUGAAUUUAGGAUUGAUAGUUUAACUCAUCUAGCGGAGAAUGAAUCUUUAUGACUUGUUAGAGAGAUAUACAAAUCCUUUUUUAUGUAAA
Gossypium arboreum is the source of this 575-nucleotide long non-coding RNA. RefSeq lists it as uncharacterized. The record is from RefSeq and is a predicted model, not a curated record. Lineage: Eukaryota; Viridiplantae; Streptophyta; Magnoliopsida; Malvales; Malvaceae. The transcript is spliced from 2 exons.